GUGAAUUAUAUGAAUAAUAAAUUUAAAUAAAUUAUAAAAUAGUAUUUAGAAUAUAGUUGAUCUCAAAAUUUUGGCACUAUUGCAUUUCACGGAUUUGGAAUUGUAAAUUGCAAAAUAUGCUACACGUUCAAUAUUUAUCACGAGAUUCACGAUCCAUAAUCUGGAUUUCAAAAUAUUUAUAUACUUUGUGAUAUGGAUCAUAAUCCAUCAUAUUGUAACGGAUUUCCAAAUCUGUCGUUUAGGUUGAAACUCUGCCCUUAGUUCGAUCACUGGAUUGUCAAAUAAAAGUUAAACUUCAAUGGCUACAUAUAUGCUCAUCUUGUUUUAUAAUUCCUUAUAACUUAACAGUUUAUUACUCAAUACUCUACUUUACAACUGUAAUUUAUAACUUGUUCACAUUUUACUCGACAACUCUAUCCUUAGAAUUGUCCUUACUCGACAACUCCCUUAUUAGAACUGUGUCUUGCUGCCAAUCCGUCGGCCCCUAUAUAGUCGCCGGCAGAACAUUGCCACUCAAACAUUCUGGAACGACGACGAUCGAUGUCUGGAUAAAUCCGGUAAUUUAUCGAUUUCGUUUGACGAUUCCAGCCUGUUCUGGUACCACCUUCGUUACAACCCAGCAAGUCAUGGGUACUGAAACUCCAACACAUUCAAAGAAAUUUUAAUAACACCACUACAUACACACAUACGAAACAAAGGGUAAAAUGUGCAUAAACAUUUAACUCAACUCUUCUCUCGUACAUCACCCCGAAUGAGAGAAAGAAACAACCAAAGUUCUCGUGUGUUUGAUUGAACAAGUUUUGUUUUGAGCUAUAUCAUGGCUGCUUGUGAAGUAUUAUUUUGCGUGUUUUAUUUAAUUCAGUGAUCUGCAGCCUAAUUAAAGUUUAAAUUUUUGAAGCACGCAUUUUUAAAUAAGUAAAACGUAAAAUAAAAGUUUUCUAAAGCCAAAAGAUGGAAUUGAAUAGGGUGAUACAGUAAUACUUCAUUGUACUGUCAAUUCGAAGCACGCAAUAGAAGCUACGCCAACAAUGGUCAACAUCAAGGGCGAAACCAUUGAAUACAUAUUUCAAACCUCAUACUGCGCGUUAAAGGUACGCAACCUAAUCGGUGCCACUUAUAGUAACAGCAUAGAACUUUCGAAGCGAUGAAAUAUGUGCUGCAAGCAAAUUCAGAACUAUGGAUGCAAACGCUGCUACACGGAACAUAAAUCAUUGACACACCAAAUACUAGGUUUAAUGUCACUUUUUUACGUGCAAUUAAACCUUUUGGUUUAGGUGAUUUUGAAACCGUUUAUCAUCGUGACGUGUGUCAACAGGGCAUUGCCAAUGAGCAAGAGGGCAUAUGCAUAUGCAGUAUUUUUGCACUUACCGGCACCUCAGUUGGCCAUACCAGCAACUGAAACAUAGAAAUCAAAGGGUAAAUUUAAGUGAAUGUUUGUGAUUAUAAAAAUUUAAAAACUUUUUCUAUGUUUAAUUAGGAGGAAUUUUUUGAUUAAUUUUCACCUUGUAUUGAGGAAUCAUAACGUUGUUGUAUCGUUUUACAAGGAUAUGGAUUCACCGAAAUUAGUUCAAUGGAAAUACUACAGCAAAAGCAUGGAUGUUAAGACUUGAACGGUGCCGUGCUAGAUUUAGAUUUCCUGAAACAUAAGAUGAAUCUAAUACUAGUGAAAUUAAUGAAAGAACAGAUCUUAUAAAAACUCCUAAAGAAACCAAAAUAGUCCUCACAUAAUGUGCGCAGCUUACACAUCCAGGCCGCUCGGGGUAUUUGACAUUUGCCACUCUUCCUCCAGCCUUUGUCAGAUAGCAAAAAUUGCAUAAUGUGCGCAGUUUACACAUCCAGGCCGCUCGGGGUAUUUGACAUUUGCCACUCUUCCUCCAGCCUUUGUCAGAUAGCAAAAAUUGUUCAAAUAUUCAAUACGUUUACAUAUGUAUAUUGUGUAGUACGAUAAUACAUGUAUAAAGUAAAUAUAAUAAUAAACACCUAAAUGGCAUGAUAUUUUAAAUAAAUAUAAAAUAUAAUUAAUGAUUUUGUUAUUAUAUUCUCAUUUGGGAUUUUGGUAGAACUAACCGAAAAUAGCGGGUAUAGUUUCUAGGCUUCUGGGGGUCGCAGUACUGAAAGUGCACGUGCAGUUUUCGUUCGAAGUUUUGGGUCUUUCAUCCGUGAUUGUACCAAUAGCAUUCCCAAAAUUGUGCAAGAGGUAUAUAUACAUUGCUAAAUGAUGAAUGUAAUGUGCAAGAAAGGGAUGAACGAUCACACGUACACAAGAGUUUCGUGUACUUUUAUCAAUUCGCCCUU
Long non-coding RNA from Zeugodacus cucurbitae (melon fly), 2295 nucleotides. RefSeq lists it as uncharacterized. The record is from RefSeq and is a predicted model, not a curated record. The transcript has 3 exons. Lineage: Eukaryota; Metazoa; Arthropoda; Insecta; Diptera; Tephritidae.